RNAcentral lists this long non-coding RNA (211 nucleotides) under Panax ginseng (ginseng). Its description in RNAcentral is "long non-coding RNA (PGIN_LNC011099)". Lineage: Eukaryota; Viridiplantae; Streptophyta; Magnoliopsida; Apiales; Araliaceae. The record is from RNAcentral.
AAAACUAAAAGAUGUUUGAACAAACAAGUUAGCAGUGAUUCGAUCUCUCUCAUUCUAGUAAGAGGGAGGGGGACGUGGGGGAGGAGCCCAAAAAACAUCAUGAUGCAUCUGGCCAUUAGGUAAAAGAUUGGGUGGUAAAUUGUAAAUAGGCAUGGAAGAUGCUGCAACUUGGUCACCAUGAGACUGAGCUGCUGAUGCUGAAUUACCACCA